This 809-nucleotide ribosomal RNA is filed under the name Bacillus licheniformis. Its description in RNAcentral is "bacterial SSU rRNA". It matches the Rfam family "Bacterial small subunit ribosomal RNA", at positions 122 to 914 of the family's 1533-position model. The record is from RNAcentral. Lineage: Bacteria; Bacillati; Bacillota; Bacilli; Caryophanales; Bacillaceae.
UAACCUGCCUGUAAGACUGGGAUAACUCCGGGAAACCGGGGCUAAUACCGGAUGCUUGAUUGAACCGCAUGGUUCAAUCAUAAAAGGUGGCUUUUAGCUACCACUUGCAGAUGGACCCGCGGCGCAUUAGCUAGUUGGUGAGGUAACGGCUCACCAAGGCGACGAUGCGUAGCCGACCUGAGAGGGUGAUCGGCCACACUGGGACUGAGACACGGCCCAGACUCCUACGGGAGGCAGCAGUAGGGAAUCUUCCGCAAUGGACGAAAGUCUGACGGAGCAACGCCGCGUGAGUGAUGAAGGUUUUCGGAUCGUAAAACUCUGUUGUUAGGGAAGAACAAGUACCGUUCGAAUAGGGCGGCACCUUGACGGUACCUAACCAGAAAGCCACGGCUAACUACGUGCCAGCAGCCGCGGUAAUACGUAGGUGGCAAGCGUUGUCCGGAAUUAUUGGGCGUAAAGCGCGCGCAGGCGGUUUCUUAAGUCUGAUGUGAAAGCCCCCGGCUCAACCGGGGAGGGUCAUUGGAAACUGGGGAACUUGAGUGCAGAAGAGGAGAGUGGAAUUCCACGUGUAGCGGUGAAAUGCGUAGAGAUGUGGAGGAACACCAGUGGCGAAGGCGACUCUCUGGUCUGUAACUGACGCUGAGGCGCGAAAGCGUGGGGAGCGAACAGGAUUAGAUACCCUGGUAGUCCACGCCGUAAACGAUGAGUGCUAAGUGUUAGAGGGUUUCCGCCCUUUAGUGCUGCAGCAAACGCAUUAAGCACUCCGCCUGGGGAGUACGGUCGCAAGACUGAAACUCAAAGGAAUUGAC